GCCGAAGUGGUGGAACUGGCAGACGCGGCAGACUCAAAAUCUGCUGUCCCCCGGAGGACGUGCGGGUUCGAGUCCCGCCUUCGGCACCA
This 89-nucleotide transfer RNA is filed under the name Clostridia bacterium. RNAcentral's name for it is "tRNA-Leu". It matches the Rfam family "tRNA". Rfam says of the family: Transfer RNA (tRNA) molecules are approximately 80 nucleotides in length. Their secondary structure includes four short double-helical elements and three loops (D, anti-codon, and T loops). Lineage: Bacteria; Bacillati; Bacillota; Clostridia. The record is from RNAcentral.